UACGUAGGGGGCAAGCGUUGUCCGGAAUCAUUGGGCGUAAAGCGCGUGUAGGCGGUCCGGUAAGUCCGCUGUGAAAGUCGGGGGCUCAACCCUCGGAUGCCGGUGGAUACUGUCGGGCUUGAGUACAGAAGGGGCAACUGGAAUUCUCGGUGUAGCGGUGAAAUGCGUAGAUAUCGAGAGGAACACCUGCGGCGAAGGCGGGUUGCUGGGCUGAUACUGACGCUGAGGCGCGAAAGCUAGGGGAGCGAACGGG
This 253-nucleotide ribosomal RNA is filed under the name uncultured bacterium. RNAcentral describes it as "partial 16S ribosomal RNA". It matches the Rfam family "Bacterial small subunit ribosomal RNA", at positions 524 to 776 of the family's 1533-position model. The record is from RNAcentral.